RNAcentral lists this long non-coding RNA (339 nucleotides) under Androctonus crassicauda. The record is from RNAcentral. Lineage: Eukaryota; Metazoa; Arthropoda; Arachnida; Scorpiones; Buthidae.
UUUGUAUAUGUUUUAUUGUCUUAUAAUGUGAAACUACCAUGUCCAAUGCUAAGCAUAUUACCAGUGAGGUUUGUAAUGUAUGGAAAUAUAGAUCAAAAGGUUUUAAUCAGACUGAAAUUGCUAAAAGAAUUGGAAGAACACAACAAGCAAUCUCCCAAAGUACUGAAAAAAGAGGGAAUUUUCAGAAAUAAACUGAGAUCUGGGAGGCUAGAAGCAACAACUGCAAGGAUGGAAGGAAAGUAUUUUGUUUAGCUUCAACUCAAAUGCUAUCCUUCUUUCAAAGUCAAGAACAGGAGCAGAAGUGUGUCCAAGGACAAUAUGCAAUAGAUUAUAUUCAAC